GCCAGGCGUGAUGUCACAUGCCUGUAAUCCCCGCUGCUCGGGAGGCUGAGGCAGGCGGAUGGCAAGUUUAAAGCCAGCCUCAG
Molecule: small RNA, 83 nt
Filed under: Marmota monax (woodchuck)
Lineage: Eukaryota; Metazoa; Chordata; Mammalia; Rodentia; Sciuridae
Source: RNAcentral